CUCACUCUCUGCCUGGUGUUCGUGGAGGUUGUGGUGACGGCUGAAGGCGCGGAUUGCAUGCUGGUGUGUGGUGUGGUGUGGUGAUGCAGUUAAAGCGGAAUGGUGAUACCUCCUCCUCAUCAGCUAAUCAACACUUCAACGACGGGUUGUGGUGACGGCUGGAGGUGCGGGGAUUGAAGGCUGGUGUGGUGUGGUGUGGUGUGGUGUGGUGACGCAGCUCGCGGAAUGGUGACUCUCUCUUCAUAAGCUACAGUUUUCCACACUUCAAUAACUGUGGUGACGGCGGGAGGCGGAACGCUGGUGCUGGUGCCGCGGCAAGCGUAAUGGUGACGCCACGCGGUGUGUGCGGCUCGGUAAUGGUGUUGUAGUAUCGCUGGUGUGUUGUUAUUGUAACGGUGUGUGUCAGACUCGUUGGUUGGUUGUUUCCGGUUAAUGAGCAGCAGUGUUUAAGUCAAGGGACUCCCAAAGUAUAAAAUAUUUAUUGGUUUUUCUUUUUUUUUUUAAAUUUUUCCCCAUUUUGCGGAGCAAAUACCUGUUCUCCGGAGACUCUUCGAGGUAUUGUUAACAAAUUUUUACA
RNAcentral lists this long non-coding RNA (577 nucleotides) under Portunus trituberculatus (swimming crab). RNAcentral's name for it is "uncharacterized LOC123498423, transcript variant X1". The record is from RNAcentral. Lineage: Eukaryota; Metazoa; Arthropoda; Malacostraca; Decapoda; Portunidae.